GGACUCUUCCAAGAGAUGGCACACCCUCUCCCAAUUCCACACCAAAAUAUAUCCAAAAAAAUAUGGGAUAACCCUUAUCAUAUUUUUCAAUAGUAAAUUAAUUUUGUAGCUAAUUUUUUACAAAAAAUAUCCUCAAAAUGUCACACACUUUAGGAGAAAAAAAUAAGUUGGCGGUAAGGCUUUCUAGUUAAUGUCAAACAUUAUCUAUAUGGUAUCCAAUUCAAAUCAGAUUUGAACAUACCAAAUAAAAUUAUAUUUUAACCAAAUAUAGAUGUAAGAAAGAGAAGGGAAAUGACUCUUUGGCAUAAAAAAAUAUCAUACAAAAUAAUUUUGUGCUUGAGGAAGAAUGGCAUGCAAAGUUUGGUAUGCAAGGGAUGAAGAGUCCAUUCUCUUAUGGACUCUUUGUUUCCUUAUUUGAAUCCAAACCAAAUCACAUCUAAUUUAGUCCAAAUAAAAUAGAUAAAAUCUAAUUUAAUUAGAUUCAUAAAUUAUUAAUCAAAUUCUAAUUAAAUUAAAAAUUAAUUAAACCAAAGUCCUGAUCAAAUCA
Molecule: long non-coding RNA, 547 nt
Filed under: Elaeis guineensis (African oil palm)
Lineage: Eukaryota; Viridiplantae; Streptophyta; Magnoliopsida; Arecales; Arecaceae
Description: long non-coding RNA (EGUI_LNC068467)
Source: RNAcentral